GAUGAACGCUGGCGGCGUGCUUAACACAUGCAAGUCGAACGAAGCACUUUAUUUGAUUUCCUUCGGGACUGAUUAUUUUGUGACUGAGUGGCGGACGGGUGAGUAACGCGUGGGUAACCUGCCUUGUACAGGGGGCUAACAGUUGGACACGGCUGCUAAUACCGCAUAAGCGCACGGCAUCGCAUGCUGCAGUGCGAAAAACUCUGGUUGUAUAGGAUGGACCCGCGUUGGUUUAGCAAGUUGGUGCGGUAACGGGCCACCAAGGCGACGAUCCAUAGCCGGGCUGAGAGGGUGGGCCGCCACAGUGGGAGUGGGACACGGCCCAAACUCCUACGGGAGGCAGCAGUGGGUAAUAGUGCACAAUGGGCGAAAGCCUGAUGCAGCGACGCCGCGUGAGCGAAGAAGUAUGUCGGUAUGUAAAGCUCUAUCAGCAGGGAAGAUAAUGACGGUACCUGACUAAGAAGCACCGGCUAACUACGUG
Molecule: ribosomal RNA, 481 nt
Filed under: uncultured bacterium
Lineage: Bacteria
Description: partial 16S ribosomal RNA
Rfam family: Bacterial small subunit ribosomal RNA
Source: RNAcentral